This 316-nucleotide ribosomal RNA is filed under the name Blastocystis sp. Its description in RNAcentral is "SSU rRNA". It matches the Rfam family "Eukaryotic small subunit ribosomal RNA", at positions 21 to 352 of the family's 1831-position model. The record is from RNAcentral. Lineage: Eukaryota; Bigyra; Opalinata; Blastocystidae.
UUGUAGUCUACGAUCGUCUCAAAGAUUAAGCCAUGCAUGUGUAAGUGUAAAUGUAGUACUUUGGAACUGCGAAUGGCUCAUUAUAUCAGUUAUAGUUUAUUUGGUGAAUGAUACUACUUGGAUAACCGUAGUAAUUCUAGGGCUAAUACAUGAGAAAGUCCUCUUUGGAGGUGUGUUUAUUAGAAUGAAAACCAUAUGCUUCGGCAUGAUAGUGAGUAAUAGUAACCUAUCGUAUCGCAUGCUUGAUGUAGCGAUGAAUUCUUUCAAGUUUCUGCCCUAUCACUUUCGAUGGUAGUAUAUGGGCCUACCAUGAUAG